AGACCGCAUCGACGAUGGCGUCCGCGAGGUCCUACCCGCCUUCGUACCCAGCUGGUGUCUUCGUGGUCCGCUCGAAGCAAGAGCUGGCGCCUCUUGUGGCGCGGCUGCGCGCGGCCCGACGACUGAAGCCAGGGCGUAACGUCACUGUGUUCGACGGCGAGCACUUUGCCGAGGUGGCGGAUGCGCUGGAGAUCAGGCUAUCGGCGAGCGCGCCUGAAGGGCAUGGGGGCGGCGCCACUGAGGACGCGGCCUGCGGCCUGAGGGAGACGCUGGUGCACCUUCGUGAGACGACCGAGGCCGAGGCAGUACAGCUUGUGAUGGCCACGCAGACGGGGAGGAGGACAGGGCUUUCAGGAAACGAUGGCAUCAGCGCACUUCCGCCCACAAGUCUCUUCACGUCUGAGGCGCAUUUGACUAGUGCGCGCGCAUCUGCCCCAGCAGUGAUGUGUGAACGGUGUGCGCUCAUCACAGCGCGCGACUCCGUCGAAGGUGAAGAAUUUCUUUCGCUGCUGCGCGUCCCCUGUGCGGAGCGAGCAGGCACAAGGUGGCCACUGUACAUGGCGGCGCACGUAGUCGGCGAGUUUGCGGAGACGGAGCUUCGCGCGCUUCUCUCCUCUGAUGGAUCGAGUGGCGGCCCCAGCACCGAAAGUGACGGUGCUGACGGACACGAGUCGAUGAAAUCAUCUACACCGGUGGCUUACAUCCGGGGCGUCCGGCGGUUCCACCGUGUGUGCUGCCCGGUGCUAGCGGAGAUGCCAUCUGCGCUCGCAGCGAUGCGGCGUGCAGCAUUGCUGCAGCGUCACCACCGCCUCGCCCAACGUGAUGAGGCGGCGGCAGACAGCCCGUGUGCGUCGCCAUCAUCGGAAGCGGGUGCGCCAUCACUAUCGGCUGCCACCCUCCAGCGCAGUAGCGCUCCGCCGGGGGGCCUCUCUCGAGAUGCCAACACUGUCUGCAGUCCGUUUUUCACGUUCUCCGAGUUGUUUGGAGGCAUUGGCAUGUUCCGCAGUGGCCUGGAGCGCGUUGGUGGCCGUGCCGCUUUCGCCGUGGAGUUCGCGCCUCCUGCGCAGAUCGUCUACGCACUCAACCACCGCUGCCUGCACGACUGUCCAGCCGCCCUACAGCUGCCAAACGCGAAGCAAGAAGAUCCCGGAGAAGACACCAGAGGCUUACUCACUCAGCGCGGCGGCGGCCGCCUCCGCAGCGGGACCGCCUUGUCCGCUGCCGCCUCCGCAGCAGCCGAGGACCACGCAGCGAUGGAGGGAGGCUUUCCUGACGCCACAGCGCGCUCUGUGCCGUUCCUCGUCGGCGACAUCACCGAGAUACCCAGCGCCUUCUUUCCCACGCACGACGUGCUUACAGGCGGCUUCCCGUGUCAGAGCUUCGCCAAGGCUGGCGACGCUGCAGGGCUGCACGCGGACAAGGGGUGGCUGUUCUACGAGGUGGUGCGGGUACUGGCUGCUACUCGACCGACAGCAUUCUUGCUGGAGAAUGUGGAGCAUCUUGUCGAGGUGGAGGCUGGCGCGCAGCUCGCUGUGAUCCUUGCCCGGCUCCGCCGCCCGGCGUCGGCGUUGUCCACGCCAACCGCCGAGGAUGUCGCGUUGGAGUACGAGGUGCAGCAUGUGGUCGUGGAUGGCGGCGCCCUAACACCGCAGACGCGAAAGCGAGUGUACUUCUUCGGCUUCCGAGCCGCCUCACCUCUGGUGCCGGCACGUGCGGUGCCCCUUGAUCGCGCCCUCUGUCAGUCCGCCCUGCCUCGCGCUGACGAUGGGGAGGCAAGUGCGGCUGCAGCCCGAGUUGUUGCUGAUGCCCUUCAACGAAUCAAGGCCGCUUCUCUGGACUCGCCAUACCGCAUCGUCCAGGAGCUGCUUGUGGCCCCCUCAACUGUGGACUUGUCGUACUCAACACCACAAGGCCGCUCAAUACAGGAUGAGCCAACUAGCACAUCACACGGAGAGAAGAGCGCGGCCCACAGCUCCGCACACGGUGACCUUCAGCUGACUUCCGCUCAAUGGGAGGCGGUUCGACGCAGUCGCACGUACCGGCAGAACCCGCUGUGGCGUCUGUGCGACGUGCAAGGGCGGGCCCGCACCCUGCUGGGUAGCUACCGCACGAGCUAUCAACUCUACUCCGAGUUUGUGCCUUUUUCAUCAGAGCGGACGCAGCAUGAGGUCGUGGCGAUGCUACUGGAGAAGACGCCGCUGAAGCCAGGGGACGACGCCGAUGAUGUGCGCGCUGGCGGCUCAGAGAACCCGGCGAUUCCGGCGCCGCCGCCUCCACCGCUGCGGUUCUUCGCGCUGCGCGAGUGCGCGCGCUUGCAAGGAAUCGAGGACACUUUCCUUCUUCCGCACGACACGACGCAGCUUUCGUCAAGCGCUGAUGGCGCAACUCCACCGGGUGCUGCUGUGAUUCCUGCUGCAGUGCUCCGCCAGGUGCCAUCCGGUGCCGUUUACAAGCUGAUUGGCAACGCCGUCAACCCGCGGGUAGUGGCAUGCUUGGGCGGCGCCAUCGCGUCCUACCUGCAAGAGCGACGUCGCUGAACACGAGCGGGAGGUACUCCUUUCUCCCUUUCCCCAUGCCAUCUACUGCAUCGAUCGAUAAGAAGCACCACGGUGAUGCUGACGCUCGUGCGUGUGUGUGUGCGUGCGCGCAGCGCGGGAACAGCACCCGCGCUUGGCGGCUUCGCCGUCUCAUCACCAGACGCUUUAUUGUGUUCUCCCUCCUUUUCGCACCCGCGCAGAUACACGCGCCGGCCGGCGGGAUCAAGAGGGGAGGGUGGCGAACGAGGGCGAAUCACAGAACGACCGCAGAGGUUGGUCGAGUGCGCAGUGCGAACUGAUAAAGACGCAGCACCUACCCUCGUGUGCGUGCCUGGUGCUCGUGUGCGCCGAAUCAGGCCCUUCUUACGGAGCGCUACGCACACGCGCACACGCGAGCUCGAUGGAAUACUGCCCGCGCUCACACCAUUUCUGCUUCCCUCUCCCUUUCUUCAAUCUCUGCCUUCCUCACUAUCCAAAACCUCCUCGCCCCUUCACGCUUGGCGCUUUUCGCGCGUAUGUCACAUCUUCGGACAUGGCUGCUGUCGUGUUUCGACACCUUGUGUGAACGGCACACUCCACGAUUCAUCCGCACACCGACGCACGCCCUUACCCUUGCCCUUGCCCUUCUUCGGUUCUACCGUCAAAAAAG
RNAcentral lists this unclassified non-coding RNA (3186 nucleotides) under Leishmania donovani. RNAcentral's name for it is "gene:LdHU3.25.1570(CDS-product:modification_methy lase-like_protein)". The record is from RNAcentral. Lineage: Eukaryota; Euglenozoa; Kinetoplastea; Trypanosomatida; Trypanosomatidae.